This 254-nucleotide ribosomal RNA is filed under the name uncultured bacterium. Its description in RNAcentral is "partial 16S ribosomal RNA". It matches the Rfam family "Bacterial small subunit ribosomal RNA", at positions 524 to 776 of the family's 1533-position model. The record is from RNAcentral.
UACGUAGGGUGCGAGCGUUGUCCGGAAUUAUUGGGCGUAAAGAGCUCGUAGGCGGUGUGUCACGUCGGCCGUGAAAACCUGCAGCUUAACUGUGGGCGUGCGGUCGAUACGGGCAUCACUGGAGUUCGGCAGGGGAGACUGGAAUUCCUGGUGUAGCGGUGAAAUGCGCAGAUAUCGGGAAGAACACCCGUGGCGAAGGCGGCUCUCUGGAACGCAACUGACGCUGAGACGCGAAAGCGUGGGGAGCAAACAGG